GUGGAUUAGAUACCCUGGUAGUCCAUGCCGUAAACGUUGGGCACUAGGUGUGGGUCUCAACCAACGAGAUCCGCGCCGUCGCUAACGCAUUAAGUGCCCCGCCUGGGGAGUACGGUCGCAAGACUAAAACUCAAAGGAAUUGACGGGGGCCCGCACAAGCAGCGGAGCGUGUUGCUUAAUUCGAUGCAACGCGAAGAACCUUACCUGGGUUUGACAUGUACCGAAAAGCUCUAGAGAUAGGGUGUCCUUCGGGGCGGUACACAGGUGGUGCACGGCCGUCGACAACU
RNAcentral lists this ribosomal RNA (287 nucleotides) under uncultured bacterium. RNAcentral's name for it is "partial 16S ribosomal RNA". It matches the Rfam family "Bacterial small subunit ribosomal RNA", at positions 773 to 1060 of the family's 1533-position model. The record is from RNAcentral.